Molecule: ribosomal RNA, 1445 nt
Filed under: metagenome
Description: bacterial LSU rRNA
Rfam family: Bacterial large subunit ribosomal RNA
Source: RNAcentral
UGUUGUCCUGGGGUAAGCAUGUAGGGCGGAACGUAGGUAAAUCCGCGUUCUAUUCAGCCUGAGAUGUGAUGCCGAGCCGAUUGUGGUGAAGUGGAUGAUCCUAUGCUGCCGAGAAAAGCCUCUAGUGAGUGUUGUGGCGGCCCGUACCCUAAACCGACUCAGGUGGUCAGGUAGAGAAUACCAAGGCGAUCGGGUGAACUGUGGUUAAGGAACUCGGCAAAUUGCCCCCGUAACUUCGGGAGAAGGGGGACCUCUGCUGGUGAUGGGCUUUACGUUCUGAGCUGGUGGGGGUCGCAGUGGCCAGGGGGAAGCGACUGUUUACUAAAAACACAGGUCCGUGCGAAGUCGUAAGACGAUGUAUACGGACUGACGCCUGCCCGGUGCCGGAACGUUAAGGGGACCGCUUAGCCAACGCGAGUUGGCGAAGGUGAGAACUUAAGCGCCGGUAAACGGCGGUGGUAACUAUAACCAUCCUAAGGUAGCGAAAUUCCUUGUCGGGUAAGUUCCGACCUGCACGAAUGGCGUAACGACUUCCCCGCUGUCUCAACCACAGACCCGGCGAAAUUGCACUACGAGUAAAGAUGCUCGUUUCGCGCAGCAGGACGGAAAGACCACGGGACCUUCACUACAGCUUGACAUUGGCGUUUGGAACGUCUUGUGUAGGAUAGGUGGGAGACUGGGAAGCUGUCACGCUAGUGAUGGUGGAGUCAUUGGUGAAAUACCACUCUGGUCGUUUUGAACGUCUAACUCUGGUCCGUGAUCCGGAUCGGGGACAGUGUCUGGUGGGUAGUUUAACUGGGGCGGUUGCCUCCUAAAGAGUAACGGAGGCGCCCAAAGGUUCCCUCAGCCUGGUUGGCAAUCAGGUGUUGAGUGUAAGUGCACAAGGGAGCUUGACUGUGAGACUGACAGGUCGAGCAGGAGCGAAAGCUGGGACUAGUGAUCCGGCAUCGGCGUGUGGAAGCGGUGUCGCUCAACGGCUAAAAGGUACCCCGGGGAUAACAGGCUGAUCUUCCCCAAGAGUCCAUAUCGACGGGAUGGUUUGGCACCUCGAUGUCGGCUCGUCGCAUCCUGGGGCUGGAGUAGGUCCCAAGGGUUGGGCUGUUCGCCCAUUAAAGCGGUACGCGAGCUGGGUUUAGAACGCCGCGAGACAGUUCGGUCCCUAUCCGCUGCGCGCGCAGGAGACUUGAAGGGGGCUGUCCCUAGUACGAGAGGACCGGGACGGACGAACCUCUGGUGUGCCAGUUGUACCGCCAGGUGCACGGCUGGUUGGCUACGUUCGGAAGGGAUAACCGCUGAAAGCAUCUAAGCGGGAAGCUCGCCUUGAGAUGAGGUCUCCCACCCCGUGAGGGGGUAAGGCUCCCGGUAGAUCACCGGGUUGAUAGGCCGGAGGUGGAAGCACGGUAACGUGUGGAGCUGACCGGUACUAAUAGGCCGAGGACUUGAUC